This is a long non-coding RNA of Mytilus californianus (California mussel), 2233 nucleotides long. RefSeq lists it as uncharacterized. The record is from RefSeq and is a predicted model, not a curated record. The transcript is spliced from 2 exons. NCBI's taxonomy places the organism in Eukaryota, Metazoa, Mollusca, Bivalvia, Mytilida, Mytilidae.
CGAUAAGUAAAUACAUUUUGACAAAAGUCCGACGAUGAUAUAAUAUGUUCUCAUUGUAGCUGUACCUGUGGAAAAUUGAUGAAAUACACAUGGGAGUAAAUAUACAGCCAGUAACAAACAUUUGAGAGAAACAGAAAUAAUAGAAAAACACUUUCUUCUGAUAAAACAAUAAUGGAAAACAAAUAUAAUGUUUUCUUGUUUUAUAUACUAGUAUAUGUUAGUUUUAUGUUAAAAUAUGUACGAUUCUGACAACAUAAAAAGACAAACUUUGCAAAUAGUUUACUAAAAUGGAUCACAUGAAUCAUUCAUACUUUGAUAUUUUCGUAUAUCAGAUAAUGAUUCAAUUUUCUCUCGUGACUUAGUAUUAUAUCAAUUUCGAAAUAAUUAGCUACACUGCAUAAAAAAGUGUUACAAAACUACAAUGAAUUAUUGACAUUUUAGUGUCCGUUGUUAGAAAAAUAACCUAAACCAUUCGAAUUGAUUUUACUUUUUUAUGCAUCCUACAAUUAAUUUUAGUGCAGAACCUUUCGUAUUGAAAAGCAUUACAACGUGUCGGAUUAGUAUUUAAGCAAUUGUUUCGUUACAAAUUGAAAUUGUACAUUUUUCUAGUCCUUCAAGUUAUAGUUCAGGUUAACCACAAUAUGUCUAUACCCUACACUGUAUUUCUGAAUGUGAAUUCAAUCAUCAGACAUAUAUUUCAUUAAUCCGUUGUUUCUGCCACUUUUAACCACGUAGAUGUAUUAUAUUUCCAUUUUGUAUUUUAGUAAUGUAAUAUAAUGUAAAUUUAUAAUUUUUGUGAAUGUUAAUUUUCUUUUUUUUAUAGAAUUUUAUGAUUAUAUUUCAAUACGUAUUUUUUAUUUUUAAUAAGAUACACAGGCAAAUUUUGUUCACGUGAAUUUAACGUGGAAUUAACGUGAAUUUCACGUGAAUUUCACGUAAAAUACUGAUUCACGUGAAAUUCACGUGAAAUUUUUCAUGUGAAAUUCACGUGAAUUGAGCCUUCACGUGAAAUUCACAUGAACUUUUCACGUGAAAUUAACAUGAAUCGAGCUUUUUUUUUUAAAUGAAAUUAAAGUGAAUUCAGCCUCAAUCACACUAAUUUCACAGGAUUUGAGCUUAUUUAUGUAAGUCAAUUAUAAUCUAAUACAAAUUCUGUUUUGAUAUAUAUAAACAUGAAAAAUAUUCUUCUUGGUCUUGACCAUGUGUUCAUACUUCCAUUCUAUUUUACUUUCUUUGUUUCCAAAAUGUUUUGGUCUUAAACAAAGAAGGCAAGCAAAUGCAUCACAGAAUAUAAAUAAUAUCCAGGGCACCUUAGUUCACUCCUAGAACUUUUUAGGUUGUUUUGAGUCUCAAUCCUUUUGUGUUAAUGAUUUAUGGACUGUGGUCAUUUAUAGAAGUUGAUUGCACUGAUGCAUAUUUCAUUUGAGUUGAUUUUUAUUAUGUUUGUAUAAGUCAUAUUGUGUGGUCAUCAGUUUUGACACAAACCAAUCACAUUAUGGAAAAGACCUAUUUGCAAAAGAUGCCAAUUCUUUUUAAGAAGGUUUUGAAGAAAACAAACUAGUUCACCUCGCCACAUAUUCAUGUACCUGUUUAAAGCCAGAAACCUUUUCAGUGAAUGUCUAAAAUCUCCUCUUAAUAAAAAGAAAAUAUUCAGAGAAUUUGGUGUUGAUGGCUAUUUUUGAUUCAUAUUGUAUUUUUUUUUAAAGCCUCUGGUCAAUUAAAUAGAUCAUGGCAUAUCUUUUAGACACCUGUCUUUUGUUGAGGACUGCAUGUUAGCACCUUAAUGCCUUUCAUGUGUUUUUGUUGUUUUAUUGCUGGCUGAUUGAUGUAUACCUCAUAUUUCAUUGUACUAAUAAACUCAAAAUAGAAAGUUCUGUGAAAUAUAGCUGAUAUACACAUGUACCAUAUUGAAAGGCUCUCUGUAAUUUACAACCAUUUACUUCUUAUUUCAUAUAUGCAAAAAUAGUUUUUUUCUCAUUUUAACACUGAUCUCAAGGUUAAGGCAAAAUGUUGACAAACAACAGGCAUAUAUCAUUAACAAAUCUCAAAGUUUGGCUGCACAAUCAGCUAAAAAUUCUUGUUAUUUCAUUUUUUUAUAUAAAAUUCAUUUUAAAACAUGUAUUUUCAUUUUUUUUUACUGUAACUUGUAUUUUGACACAAUAAUUUGAAUUUGAAUUGUAUUAUAUUUUGAAAGUACUUGUGGUUGAAAAAAUAUACACAAUAGUUAAUUCCA